Ornithorhynchus anatinus (platypus) is the source of this 138-nucleotide non-coding RNA. The record is from Rfam. Lineage: Eukaryota; Metazoa; Chordata; Mammalia; Monotremata; Ornithorhynchidae.
CCCCUCUCUGGGUCACACCUGGAGGCUUUCCAGUACUCUACCAGUCUCGGCUAUGGGAGGGAGAGUCAAGCAGAGGCCUACCUAUUCCAUUCUUAGCUUCCUCAGUAGCUACCGAGUGGAAGGCAAUCUGCUACAAGU